UACGUAGGGCGCAAGCGUUGUCCGGAAUUAUUGGGCGUAAAGAGCUCGUAGGCGGUCUGUUACGUCCGCUGUGAAAACCCAGGGCUUAACCCUGGGCUUGCAGUGGAUACGGGUAGACUAGAGGCAGGUAGGGGAGAAUGGAAUUCCCGGUGUAGCGGUGAAAUGCGUAGAUAUUGGGAAGAACACCUGAGGCGAAGGCGGGUUGCUGGGCCGACACUGACGCUGAGGCGCGAAAGCCAGGGGAGCAAACGGG
This 253-nucleotide ribosomal RNA is filed under the name uncultured bacterium. RNAcentral's name for it is "partial 16S ribosomal RNA". It matches the Rfam family "Bacterial small subunit ribosomal RNA", at positions 524 to 776 of the family's 1533-position model. The record is from RNAcentral.